GGGUGGUAAUGCCGGAUGCUCCAGUUGAUCGCAUGGUCUUCUGGGAAAGCCUUUGCGGCAUGGGAUGGGGUCGCGUCCUAUCAGCUUGAUGGCGGGGUAACGGCCCACCAUGGCUUCGACGGGUAGCCGGCCUGAGAGGGCGACCGGCCACAUUGGGACUGAGAUACGGCCCAGACUCCUACGGGAGGCAGCAGUGGGGAAUAUUGCACAAUGGGCGCAAGCCUGAUGCAGCGACGCCGCGUGAGGGAUGGAGGCCUUCGGGUUGUAAACCUCUUUUGUUAGGGAGCAAGGCAUUUUGUGUUGAGUGUACCUUUCGAAUAAGCACCGGCUAACUACGUGCCAGCAGCCGCGGUAAUACGUAGGGUGCAAGCGUUAUCCGGAAUUAUUGGGCGUAAAGGGCUCGUAGGCGGUUCGUCGCGUCCGGUGUGAAAGUCCAUCGCUUAACGGUGGAUCCGCGCCGGGUACGGGCGGGCUUGAGUGCGGUAGGGGAGACUGGAAUUCCCGGUGUAACGGUGGAAUGUGUAGAUAUCGGGAAGAACACCA
This 543-nucleotide ribosomal RNA is filed under the name Bifidobacterium breve. RNAcentral describes it as "bacterial SSU rRNA". It matches the Rfam family "Bacterial small subunit ribosomal RNA", at positions 158 to 711 of the family's 1533-position model. The record is from RNAcentral. Lineage: Bacteria; Bacillati; Actinomycetota; Actinomycetes; Bifidobacteriales; Bifidobacteriaceae.